GGAGCAAACAGGAUUAGAUACCCUGGUAGUCCACGCUGUAAACGAUGUCGAUUUGAAGGUUGUUCCCUUGAGGAGUGGCUUUCGGAGCUAACGCGUUAAAUCGACCGCCUGGGGAGUACGGCCGCAAGGUUAAAACUCAAAUGAAUUGACGGGGGCCCGCACAAGCGGUGGAGCAUGUGGUUUAAUUCGAUGCAACGCGAAGAACCUUACCUACUCUUGACAUCCAGAGAACUUAGCAGAGAUGCUUUGGUGCCUUCGGGAACUCUGAGACAGGUGCUGCAUGGCUGUCGUCAGCUCGUGUUGUGAAAUGUUGGGUUAAGUCCCGCAACGAGCGCAACCCUUAUCCUUUGUUGCCAGCGAUUCGGUCGGGAACUCAAAGGAGACUGCCGGUGAUAAACCGGAGGAAGGUGGGGAUGACGUCAAGUCAUCAUGGCCCUUACGAGUAGGGCUACACACGUGCUACAAUGGCGUAUACAAAGAGAAGCGACCUCGCGAGAGCAAGCGGAACUCAUAAAGUACGUCGUAGUCCGGAUUGGAGUCUGCAACUCGACUCCAUGAAGUCGGAAUCGCUAGUAAUCGUAGAUCAGAAUGCUACGGUGAAUACGUUCCCGGGCCUUGUACACACCGCCCGUCACACCAUGGGAGUGGGUUGCAAAAGAAGUAGGUAGCUUAACCUUCGGGAGGGCGCUUACCACUUUGUGAUUCAUGACUGGGGUGAAGUCGUAACAAGGUAACCGUAGGGGAACCUGCGGUUG
This 755-nucleotide ribosomal RNA is filed under the name Providencia rettgeri. RNAcentral describes it as "bacterial SSU rRNA". It matches the Rfam family "Bacterial small subunit ribosomal RNA", at positions 765 to 1520 of the family's 1533-position model. The record is from RNAcentral. Lineage: Bacteria; Pseudomonadati; Pseudomonadota; Gammaproteobacteria; Enterobacterales; Morganellaceae.